Molecule: ribosomal RNA, 497 nt
Filed under: uncultured bacterium
Lineage: Bacteria
Description: partial 16S ribosomal RNA
Rfam family: Bacterial small subunit ribosomal RNA
Source: RNAcentral
GAUGAACGCUGGCGGCGUGCCUAAUACAUGCAAGUCGAGCGAACAGAUGAGGAGCUUGCUCCUCUGACGUUAGCGGCGGACGGGUGAGUAACACGUGGAUAACCUACCUAUAAGACUGGGAUAACUUCGGGAAACCGGAGCUAAUACCGGAUAAUAUAUUGAACCGCAUGGUUCAAUAGCGAAAGACGGUUUUGCUGUCACUUAUAGAUGGAUCCGCGCCGCAUUAGCUAGUUGGUAAGGUAACGGCUUACCAAGGCAACGAUGCGUAGCCGACCUGAGAGGGUGAUCGGUCACACUGGAACUGAGACACGGUCCAGACUCCUACGGGAGGCAGCAGUAGGGAAUCUUCCGCAAUGGGCGAAAGCCUGACGGAGCAACGCCGCGUGAGUGAUGAAGGUCUUCGGAUCGUAAAACUCUGUUAUUAGGGAAGAACAAAUGUGUAAGUAACUAUGCACGUCUUGACGGUACCUAAUCAGAAAGCCACGGCUAACUACGUG